RNAcentral lists this ribosomal RNA (467 nucleotides) under uncultured bacterium. Its description in RNAcentral is "partial 16S ribosomal RNA". It matches the Rfam family "Bacterial small subunit ribosomal RNA", at positions 28 to 507 of the family's 1533-position model. The record is from RNAcentral.
GACGAACGCUGGCGGCGUGCUUAACACAUGCAAGUCGAACGGAAAGGCCAGUGCUUGCACUGGUGCUCGAGUGGCGAACGGGUGAGUAACACGUGGGUGAUCUGCCUUGCACUCUGGGAUAAGCUUGGGAAUCUGGGUCUAAUACCGGAUAGGAACCGUCUUUAGUGUGGUGGUUGGAAAGUUUUUUCGGUGCAAGAUGAGCUCGCGGCCUAUCAGCUUGUUGGUGGGGUAAUGGCCUACCAAGGCGUCGACGGGUAGCCGGCCUGAGAGGGUGUACGGCCACAUUGGGACUGAGAUACGGCCCAGACUCCUACGGGAGGCAGCAGUGGGGAAUAUUGCACAAUGGGCGGAAGCCUGAUGCAGCGACGCCGCGUGGGGGAUGACGGCCUUCGGGUUGUAAACUCCUUUCGACAGGGACGAAGCGUUAUGUGACGGUACCUGUAUAAGAAGCACCGGCUAACUACGUG